GAACAUAAGAGUUUGAUCCUGGCUCAGAUUGAACGCUGGCGGCAUGCUUUACACAUGCAAGUCGGACGGCAGCACGAGUACUUGUACUUGGUGGCGAGUGGCGAACGGGUGAGUAAUAUAUUGGAACGUACCGAGUAAUGGGGGAUAACUAUCCGAAAGGAUAGCUAAUACCGCAUACGCUUUGAGAAGGAAAGCAGGGGAUCUUCGGACCUUGCGUUAUUCGAGCGGCCAAUAACUGAUUAGCUAGUUGGUGGGGUAAGGGCCCACCAAGGCGACGAUCAGUAGCGGGUCUGAGAGGAUGAUCCGCCACACUGGGACUGAGACACGGCCCAGACUCCUACGGGAGGCAGCAGUGGGGAAUUUUGGACAAUGGGCGAAAGCCUGAUCCAGCCAUGCCGCGUGUCUGAAGAAGGCCUUCGGGUUGUAAAGGACUUUUGUUAGGGAAGAAAAGGUUGAUGCUAAUAUCAUUAACUGAUGACGGUACCUAAAGAAUAAGCACCGGCUAACUACGUGCCAGCAGCCGCGGUAAUACGU
RNAcentral lists this ribosomal RNA (534 nucleotides) under Kingella kingae. RNAcentral's name for it is "bacterial SSU rRNA". It matches the Rfam family "Bacterial small subunit ribosomal RNA", at positions 1 to 528 of the family's 1533-position model. The record is from RNAcentral. Lineage: Bacteria; Pseudomonadati; Pseudomonadota; Betaproteobacteria; Neisseriales; Neisseriaceae.